RNAcentral lists this ribosomal RNA (493 nucleotides) under Saccharomyces cerevisiae (brewer's yeast). RNAcentral's name for it is "eukaryotic LSU rRNA". It matches the Rfam family "Eukaryotic large subunit ribosomal RNA", at positions 126 to 633 of the family's 3401-position model. The record is from RNAcentral. Lineage: Eukaryota; Fungi; Ascomycota; Saccharomycetes; Saccharomycetales; Saccharomycetaceae.
UACCUUCGGUGCCCGAGUUGUAAUUUGGAGAGGGCAACUUUGGGGCCGUUCCUUGUCUAUGUUCCUUGGAACAGGACGUCAUAGAGGGUGAGAAUCCCGUGUGGCGAGGAGUGCGGUUCUUUGUAAAGUGCCUUCGAAGAGUCGAGUUGUUUGGGAAUGCAGCUCUAAGUGGGUGGUAAAUUCCAUCUAAAGCUAAAUAUUGGCGAGAGACCGAUAGCGAACAAGUACAGUGAUGGAAAGAUGAAAAGAACUUUGAAAAGAGAGUGAAAAAGUACGUGAAAUUGUUGAAAGGGAAGGGCAUUUGAUCAGACAUGGUGUUUUGUGCCCUCUGCUCCUUGUGGGUAGGGGAAUCUCGCAUUUCACUGGGCCAGCAUCAGUUUUGGUGGCGGGAUAAAUCCAUAGGAAUGUAGCUUGCCUCGGUAAGUAUUAUAGCCUGUGGGAAUACUGCCAGCUGGGACUGAGGACUGCGACGUAAGUCAAGGAUGCUGGCAUA